RNAcentral lists this long non-coding RNA (257 nucleotides) under Ananas comosus (pineapple). RNAcentral's name for it is "long non-coding RNA (ACOM_LNC035457)". The record is from RNAcentral. Lineage: Eukaryota; Viridiplantae; Streptophyta; Magnoliopsida; Poales; Bromeliaceae.
CCUCCGCGCAAAAACUGCCCGGGCAGAGCAGUUUGACAAAUGAAAAGUGGAGGGGCUUAAGUGGAUAUUGUUACAAUAGAGGGUAUAGGGGACCAUUCCUCUCUCCUUCUCCCUCAUUUUCCUCCCACUUACACACUCUCUCUCUCCCUCUCUCUCUCCAGAAUGAAAAAAAGAAGGAGAAGGAGAAGAAUGAGAGGAAGAAGAAGAAGGAAUGAAAGGUGAAGAAGAAGAAGGAGAUCAGGGAGAAGGCCUUGGAC